RNAcentral lists this long non-coding RNA (305 nucleotides) under Lathyrus oleraceus (garden pea). RNAcentral's name for it is "Pisum sativum (pea) long non-coding RNA (PSAT_LNC018363)". Lineage: Eukaryota; Viridiplantae; Streptophyta; Magnoliopsida; Fabales; Fabaceae. The record is from RNAcentral.
GGACUUCGGUCCAUUUUGGUGUGCUCUAGUUCGAUGGUGUGGAUUCAGGAGCGAGUAACUGGUCUAGAUGGGAAUUAAUGAAGCGUUCCUAAAGGUGUUAGUAGCUAAUUGGUGUGCUCUGAUUUCAAGGAAGGAAUUGAGGAGCGAAAUGGAUAUAUGUUGUCCAUAAUGGUACCGCAUGCAUGUAGAGUUGUGGUGUUAAGUACAUUGCAUCUAUUGUUUACAUAUGAUUAUGUUGAUAUUGGUGGUUGAGAAUACUUAAGUGGUUGAUGUGAAUGAAUUAUGUUAGAAUGGUGUGAAUGAAG